CCUACGGGUGGCAGCAGUGAGGAAUAUUGGUCAAUGGGCGAGAGCCUGAACCAGCCAAGUCGCGUGAGGGAGUACUGCCCUAUGGGUUGUAAACCUCUUUUGUCGGGGAGCAAAAGCCGGACGUGUCCGGCUGUGAGAGUACCCGAAGAAAAAGCAUCGGCUAACUCCGGGCCAGCAGCCGCGGUAAUACGGAGGAUGCGAGCGUUAUCCGGUGUUAUUGGGUUUAAAGGGUGCGCAGGCGGAUUUUUAAGUCAGCGGGUAAAUCGUGGGGGGAAACCCCAUCCAGCCGUUGGAACCGGGGAUCUUGAGUGUGCGGGAGGUAGGCGGAAUGCGUGGUGUAGCGGUGAAAUGCAUAGAUAUCACGCAGAACCCCGAUUGCGAAGGCAGCAUACCGGUGCACAACUGACGCGCAAGCACGAAAGCGUGGGGAUCGAACAGGAUUAGAUACCCCGGUAGUC
This 458-nucleotide ribosomal RNA is filed under the name uncultured bacterium. Its description in RNAcentral is "partial 16S ribosomal RNA". It matches the Rfam family "Bacterial small subunit ribosomal RNA", at positions 338 to 795 of the family's 1533-position model. The record is from RNAcentral.